GGAAGUAAACAAGGGCGAAAGGUGGAUGCCUAGGCUCUCGGAGGCGAAGAAGGACGUGAUAAGCUGCGAAAAGCUGCGGUAAGGAGCAAAUAUCCUGUGACCCGCAGAUUUCCGAAUGGGGCAACCCAUCAACGCAAGUUGAUAUACCGCCAAGCGGUAAGCAAACGCGGGGAACUGAAACAUCUCAUUACCCGUAGGAAGAGAAAAUAAGAAUGAUUCCGCAAGUAGUGGCGAGCGAACGCGGAAGAGCCCAAACCGGUUCCGUUUCGGCGGGGCCGGGGUAGAAGGACCGACAGAAGGACAAAGGAAGCAUAGCCGAACAGUAUUGGAAAAUACGAUCAGAGACGGUGAUAAUCCGGUAGGCGAAAUGCGGAGCUUGACAGUCGGUAUCCUGAGUAGUGCAGGACACGAGAAAUCCGGUACGAAUCAGCGGGGACCAUCCCGUAAGGCUAAAUACUCCCGAGAGACCGAUAGCGCACCAGUACUGUGAAGGAAAGGUGAAAAGAACCUCGAACAGAGGAGUGAAAAAGACCCUGAAACCAUUCGCCUACAAGCGGUCGGAGCCACUACGUGUGGUGACGGCGUGCCUUUUGCAUAAUGAACCUACGAGUUACCCAUACCGGCCAGAUUAAGCGAUUCAGUCGCGGAGUCGAAGCGAAAGCGAGUCCUAACAAGGCGGAUAGUCGGUAUGAGUAGACGCGAAACCAAGUGAUCUACCCAUGAGCAGGUUGAAGGUUAGGUAACACUAACUGGAGGACCGCACCGGUAAACGUUGAAAAGUUUUCGGAUGACUUGUGGGUAGGAGUGAAAGGCCAAUCAAACUUGGAGAUAGCUCGUACUCCCCGAAAUGCAUUUAGGUGCAGCCUCGGGCCAGUAUGUAAUAGAGGUAGAGCCACUGAUAAGUCGCGAGGGUUUCAACGCCUAUCAAGACUUGACAAACUCCGAAUACUAUUACAGGUACCCCGGGAGUGAGGGCAUGGGUGCUAAGGUCCAUGUCCGAGAGGGAAAGAACCCAGACCAUCAGCUAAGGUCCCGAAAUAUAUGCUAAGUUGAAGAUAAAACGAAGUAGAGACCCUGAGACAGCUAGGAUGUUGGCUUGGAAGCAGCCAUUCAUUUAAAGAGUGCGUAACAGCUCACUAGUCGAGGGACUCCGCAUGGAUAAUAAUCGGGCAUAAGCAUAUUACCGAAGCUAUGGAAUAGAACUAUUGGUAGGGGAGCAUUCCAGUCGCCGUCGAAGAUAUACCUUGAGGUAUGUUGGAGGCCCUGGAAAAGCAAAUGUAGGUAUAAGUAACGAUAAAGGGGGCGAGAAACCCCCUCGCCGUAAGACCAAGGAUUCCUGAUCAACGCUAAUCGGAUCAGGGUAAGUCGGGCCCUAAGGAUCAUCCGAAAGGAGAAGCCGAUGGAAGAAACGGUUAAUAUUCCGUUACUACGAUAAAGAGUGACGGGGAGACGGAGAAGUGACACAUCCGCCUGCUGACGGAAUAGCAGGUUAAAGAGUGUAGAUAAUGGCUGGAUAGGCAAAUCCGUUCGGCCAGUCGAACUUGACAGUACCGAGCGUCCUCGGACAAUCGGAUAGCGAUGGUAAACAGGCUUCCAAGAAAAUCCUCUAAACAUAUUUUUAUCGUACCCGUACCGCAAACGGACACACGUGGUCGAGUAGAACAUACUAAGGCGCUCGAGAGAUUCACGGUUAAGGAACUAGGCAAAUUGACCCUGUAACUUCGGGAAAAAGGGUCCCCGCUGCAAGGCGGGGCGCAGAGAAUAGGUCCAGGCAACUGUUUAACAAAAACACAGGGCUGUGCAAAAUUUCAAGAUGACGUAUACAGCCUGACACCUGCCCGGUGCUGGAAGGUUAAGAGGAGAAGUCAUUCGCAAGAAGAAGCUUUGAAUUGAAGCCCCAGUAAACGGCGGCCGUAACUAUAACGGUCCUAAGGUAGCGAAAUUCCUUGUCGGGUAAGUUC
RNAcentral lists this ribosomal RNA (1961 nucleotides) under human gut metagenome. RNAcentral describes it as "bacterial LSU rRNA". It matches the Rfam family "Bacterial large subunit ribosomal RNA", at positions 1 to 1983 of the family's 2925-position model. The record is from RNAcentral.